Molecule: long non-coding RNA, 2071 nt
Organism: Numida meleagris (helmeted guineafowl)
Lineage: Eukaryota; Metazoa; Chordata; Aves; Galliformes; Numididae
Exons: 3
Source: RefSeq, a predicted model, not a curated record
AGAACCUUUAUUGCAUGUGUAGACAUCAGAUUCUGGUUAACUUUUCUCCAUUCAUCACUCAGCAUAAUAUCCACUUCACUGCCUGACCCACUAUGGAACCUUAGGAGCUUUUCUUUUACAGUCCUAACUGCUAGAAAACUUGCAGCACAGAGUGAAUUUUUAAAUAGUACCUAAGCCUCAAAGACAACUUUCUAUUUACACACACUUUAGUAACAGGCACUAAGUUAGUCAUAACAAGUAUUGCCUUUUUCGCUUAUUUAUUGGAUAGUUUCCCAGUGAUCACUUGAACGGGUUUAUUUAAGGAGUGAGACAUUAAAUGGGAUAUAUUAGCAAGUCGUUGAUCUGUGCCUCAGGUGCAUAUUAAAUUCUGUGUGGUUGAAGGCCAAGUGACUUCCAUUUCAUUAAAAUAAUCACACCCUGUUGGUGCAUAACCUACAGACCCCUUAGAAAAUUACAGUGUUAAUACACUUUAAAAUAAGAAAAAAAAUAAGUAUGCUAAAUAUUUAUUUAGUAGAUACAUUCCCAGAAGAGCGCAGAACUGAAGAAUAAUGAGAUGAAGAAAAUACAGCAUCUAUUUCUGCAGCUUAAGGACUUUCUGUUGUGUUCCAGACAAGUGCAGUUUCUUUCAAAUAUUCUAAUGGAAACGCCAAAACGAAGAGGUCUGUCAUGGGGAGGUACUGAGUCUUAAAGAAAUCCAUAUUGAGGGAGGCAAAUUGACUGAACUACCAUAUUCCCAGUUUACAAAAUUGUGACUCCAGCUCCUUUUAUAAUAAGCCAAUGCUAAGGAAGGGUUAACCUCAGGUUGCAGCUGGGCAGCAGGUGGAAUGUAUCCAGCUAGAAGAUGGAAGACCUUGGGAUGGGGAGAAAUGAGGAUGUGACAACAUGACAACACAAGCCACACUAAGUGGCACACAUGGCAUUCAUUCCCGAAAUGCAGCCGAGCAAUCUGUGAAAUGAGGACAGAGAGUAGACUUUUGCCUUUGAAGGAAGACUAAUGAACCAGCUACUGCAGCAGGCAGCGACUGACUUAUUUACAGCAACGCCAGAAGAAAUACCAAUUGCCCUGGGGAGCUUAGCAACAGAGGAGAUGCAAAGACUUCAGCUGCAAAUUGGGCUGAAAGGUCAAUGCCUCAUAGAGAUUGAGAAGAUACCAAAAGCUCAAUGGCCUGUAGUAGCUCAGAAAUUGUGUUUUGAAAGUGAAGAUGGACCAAGAGUCCUUGACGGGAUGGCUUUUGAUAUUAGCUCCUCAUCUGUCUUCAGAUGUAAGUUUGGGAAUCGCUGUUUUUGAUAAUGUAGCUACAGCUUCCUAUGAGAAUCUGGGAUUGUGAACAAUCCUGCUAAAGGUGAAAGAGGGAUUCGUCUUCUGUUUUUCUUUUUUCCUGCAUUCUUCAGGCUAAGUUUCCUCUCUGGUUUGACAUAAUUUUCACAAUUAAUCUAUCUCAUAUCUCUUUUUUUCUUAUUUUUUUUAAUAAACAUUUCAAGUUAAAUAAUUAAAACAAAUGUGUAUCUGACUAUCAUAGUAAGUGGUUAUCAGGUCUUCUUCUUCUCCCUUGUAGACCUGUCCUUAUUUAAAAAGACCUGGUCAUCUCCCGUGACUUCUCAAAUACAUACAUUAGUGCAAAUAAACUAUCUCCUCUGUUGACUCACAGUACACAAUUUUAUUCCCUCAGAAACAUGGAAGAGAUAUUGUAGGAAUGUGUGAAGUGGAUAGAUCAAUGCAUCACUGAGUAGACCUCUGGCAUUCUGAAAAUACUUGUGCAGGCCUCACAUAUCACAGACAUGGUAAACAGCAUAAUACAGGUUAGCAGUGAUGUUUGUUCUCACUAAAGCAGAAGUAAAAUCGCAAUGCGUACAGAGAUGCAUUUUUGUAUCAAAGGCAAUCUUGAGAAAAAAAAAACAUUUUAAUAUUAAAUAUAGAAUUUACUAUCACUUUGAUGUUGCAGGUUCUGUAAUAUUAAAAAUAUCAGUAACUAUUAUGUACUCAUUCACAUGGACCUCUGGAGCUAAAAGAUGUUGCUGCUUCAGUGACUUAUUCUCUCUUUGUCUGAUUUAGGUAAUAUUUUAAAAUAAA